UACGUAGGGGGCAAGCGUUGUUCGGAAUUACUGGGCGUAAAGGGCGCGUAGGCGGCACGGCAAGUCAGGAGUGAAAGGCCUGGGCUCAACCUGGGAAUUGCUUUUGAAACUGCCGAGCUAGAGUGCGGAAGGGGCAACUGGAAUUCCCAGUGUAGCGGUGAAAUGCGUAGAGAUCAGGAGGAAGACCAGUGGCGAAGGCGGGUCUCUGGACAGUUCCUGACACUGAGACACGAAGGCCAGGGGAGCAAACGGG
RNAcentral lists this ribosomal RNA (253 nucleotides) under uncultured bacterium. RNAcentral's name for it is "partial 16S ribosomal RNA". It matches the Rfam family "Bacterial small subunit ribosomal RNA", at positions 524 to 776 of the family's 1533-position model. The record is from RNAcentral.